RNAcentral lists this ribosomal RNA (1526 nucleotides) under metagenome. RNAcentral describes it as "SSU rRNA". It matches the Rfam family "Eukaryotic small subunit ribosomal RNA", at positions 42 to 1249 of the family's 1831-position model. The record is from RNAcentral.
GACUAAGCCAUGCAUGCCUCAGAAUAACUGCUUUGCAGGAGUCUGCGCAUGGCUCAUUACAUCAGACGCAAUCUGCCGCAAAAAUCAUGCGGAACCCGCAUUAUUGGAUACCUUGUGCGAAACGCCAAGCUAAUACAUGAACUAAUGGGAUCGUCCCGAUCAACACGCCGUAGGUUUACCGAAAGCGUGGUGGCCGACCCUGCGGAUGAAUGAAAGUACAAACCAAUGCACCUCACGGUGCAGCAAAACGGAGUAGUGCUGAAUCAAUUCAUCUUUGCGAAAGCUGGCCUAGCCAGCGUUUUUUGACGAACAACUGCCCUAUCAGCCAGUGAUGGCCGUGUAGUGGACUGCCAUGGCGUUGACGGGAGCGGGGGAUUAGGGUUCGAUUCCGGAGAGGGAGCCUGAGAAAUGGCUACCACUUCUACGGAGGGCAGCAGGCGCGCAAAUUGCCCAAUGCCAAAACAAAUGAUGAGGCAGCGAAAAGAAAUAGGUGUGCCAAACGCCUUGUGUAUUUGGCGCUUUCAAUGGGGGAUAUUCAAAACCAUCCAACAUCGGGUAACAAUUGGAGGACAAGUCUGGUGCCAGCACCCGCGGUAAUUCCAGCUCCAAGAGCGUAUAUUAACGCUGUUGCUGUUAAAGGGUUCGUAGUUGAACUGUGGAGUGUGACCCCGAGAUUCUGUCCUUUUCCCACGGUCUAGGAACGUCCCGAUCACACUCCGAGAACGUCAGAAACUAAGAUCACGGAAGCGUUUUUUACAAUUUGCCACCGACUACGCGAGCAAUGUUCGCUGGUGGACGUCCGUGUUUUUUUACUGUGACUAAAGAAGUGCGACCAAAGCAGUCCAUCGACAUGAAUUAGAAAGCAUGGGAUAACAAAGCAGCAGCCUGUGAGCUACCGUUUAGGCUUUUGUUGGUUUUAAAGGUUCGUGGGAGAUUACGGGUAUGUAGGACAAGCGUUGUGGGGUCUUCGGAUCCCCUCGCCUCCUCCUGGUAUCGGAAACGGUGCUUGUGGGGCCUACUUUACUCAGGAAUGAAGGAGGGUUGCUCGGGGGAAAACGUACUUGGGCGUGAGAGGUGAAAUUCUUAGACCGCCCAAAGACGAACUACAGCGAAGGCAUUUUCCAAGGAUACCUUCCUCAAUCAAGAACCAAAGUGUGGGGAUCGAAGAUGAUUAGAGACCAUUGUAGUCCACACCACAAACGAUGACCCCCAUGAAUUGGGGAGUUUUUGUGGAGGCGUUCCCCGGCUUGUCCGGGCGGGCGUCUCGCAAUAAAGUAUUCAACCUACGUGCACGAUCUAUCCAGCCGAGAGGUAACACUCUCGGCCUUGACGGGAUCAUCCUCAGCACGUUCUCUUACUGUUUCACGCGAAAGCUUUGAGGUUACAGUCUCAGGGGGGAGUACGUUCGCAAGAGUGAAACUUAAAGAAAUUGACGGAAUGGCACCACAAGAUGUGGAGCGUGCGGUUUAAUUUGACCCAACACGGGGAACUUUACCAGAUCCGGAAAGGGUAAGGAUUGACAGAUU